CCAAAGGCUCUUUUCAGAGCCACCCACUUGCCCUAAAAAGAGCUGU
Struthio camelus australis is the source of this 46-nucleotide non-coding RNA. The record is from Rfam. NCBI's taxonomy places the organism in Eukaryota, Metazoa, Chordata, Aves, Struthioniformes, Struthionidae.